CACGUAGUUAGCCGGAGCUUUUUCUUCAGGUACCGUCAUUAUCGUCCCUGAUAAAAGGAGUUUACAAUCCGAAAACCUUCUUCCUCCACGCGGCAUCGCUGCAUCAGGGUUUCCCCCAUUGUGCAACAUUCCCCACUGCUGCCUCCCGUAGGAGUCUGGGCCGUGUCUCAGUCCCAAUGUGGCCGUUCAACCUCUCAGUCCGGCUACUGAUCGUCGACUUGGUGAGCCGUUACCUCACCAACUAUCUAAUCAGACGCGAGCCCAUCUCUGAGCGAAUUUCUUUGAUAACAAAAUCAUGCGAUUUCACUAUGUUAUGAGGUAUUACCAUCCGUUUCCAGAAGCUAUCCCUCUCUCAGAGGCAGGUUGCUCACGUGUUACUCACCCGUCCGCCACUAACUUGAGGAAGCAAGCUUCCUCUCGUCCGUUCGACUUGCAUGUGUUAGGCGUGCCGCCAGCGUGUCUCGUGUCACGAGUCAACUACU
RNAcentral lists this ribosomal RNA (482 nucleotides) under uncultured Ruminococcus sp. Its description in RNAcentral is "partial 16S ribosomal RNA". Lineage: Bacteria; Bacillati; Bacillota; Clostridia; Eubacteriales; Oscillospiraceae. The record is from RNAcentral.